UACGUAGGUGGCAAGCGUUGUCCGGAAUUAUUGGGCGUAAAGGGCUCGCAGGCGGUUCCUUAAGUCUGAUGUGAAAGCCCCCGGCUCAACCGGGGAGGGUCAUUGGAAACUGGGGAACUUGAGUGCAGAAGAGGAGAGUGGAAUUCCACGUGUAGCGGUGAAAUGCGUAGAGAUGUGGAGGAACACCAGUGGCGAAGGCGACUCUCUGGUCUGUAACUGACGCUGAGGAGCGAAAGCGUGGGGAGCGAACAGG
This 253-nucleotide ribosomal RNA is filed under the name uncultured bacterium. RNAcentral's name for it is "partial 16S ribosomal RNA". It matches the Rfam family "Bacterial small subunit ribosomal RNA", at positions 524 to 776 of the family's 1533-position model. The record is from RNAcentral.